Molecule: non-coding RNA, 25 nt
Filed under: Cricetulus griseus (Chinese hamster)
Lineage: Eukaryota; Metazoa; Chordata; Mammalia; Rodentia; Cricetidae
Source: RNAcentral
UGAGCGGAACACAGACGUGCAGGAG